RNAcentral lists this ribosomal RNA (510 nucleotides) under uncultured bacterium. RNAcentral describes it as "bacterial SSU rRNA". It matches the Rfam family "Bacterial small subunit ribosomal RNA", at positions 19 to 518 of the family's 1533-position model. The record is from RNAcentral.
CUGGCUCAGGAUGAACGCUAGCUACAGGCUUAACACAUGCAAGUCGAGGGGCAGCAUUGGGAUAGCUUGCUAUUCAGAUGGCGACCGGCGCACGGGUGAGUAACGCGUAUCCAACCUUCCUGCCAGUAGGGAACAGCCCGGCGAAAGUCGGAUUAAUGCCCUAUGUUCUUCAAUGCGGACAUCUAAGUUGAAGGAAAGAUUCAUCGCUGGCAGAUGGGGAUGCGUCCGAUUAGCUUGCCGGCGGGGUAACGGCCCACCGGGGCGACGAUCGGUAGGGGUUCUGAGAGGAAGGUCCCCCACACUGGUACUGAGACACGGACCAGACUCCUACGGGAGGCAGCAGUGAGGAAUAUUGGUCAAUGGGCGUAAGCCUGAACCAGCCAAGUAGCGUGCAAGGAUGACGGCCCUACGGGUUGUAAACUGCUUUUAUGCGGGGAUAAAGUGCGGCACGUGUGCCGCUUUGUAGGUACCGCAUGAAUAAGGACCGGCUAAUUCCGUGCCAGCCGCUGC